UCUCAGUUCGGAUUGCAGGCUGCAACUCGCCUGUAUGAAGCUGGAAUUGCUAGUAAUCGCGGAUCAGCAAGCCGCGGUGAAUACGUUCCCGGGCCUUGUACACACCGCCCGUCACACCAUGAGAGUCGGGAACACCCGAAGUCCGUAGUCUAACCGCAAGGGGGGCGCGGCCGAAGGUGGGUCCGGUAAUUGGGGUGAAGUCGUAACAAGGUAAC
Molecule: ribosomal RNA, 215 nt
Filed under: uncultured bacterium
Lineage: Bacteria
Description: partial 16S ribosomal RNA
Rfam family: Bacterial small subunit ribosomal RNA
Source: RNAcentral